RNAcentral lists this ribosomal RNA (390 nucleotides) under uncultured bacterium. RNAcentral describes it as "bacterial SSU rRNA". It matches the Rfam family "Bacterial small subunit ribosomal RNA", at positions 28 to 414 of the family's 1533-position model. The record is from RNAcentral.
GAUGAACGCUAGCGGCAGGCUUAAUACAUGCAAGUCGAGGGGCAACAGGGGUAGCAAUAUCUGCUGGCGACCGGCAAACGGGUGCGGAACACGUACAGAACCUUCCUUUAAGCGGGGGAUAGCCCAUAGAAAUGUGGAUUAAUACCCCAUAGUAAUAUUUGGUGGCAUCAUUAGAUAUUUAAAGAUUUAUCACUUAAAGAUGGCUGUGCGGCUGAUUAGGUAGUUGGUCGGGGUAACGGCCCACCAAGCCAUCGAUCAGUAACUGGUGUGAGAGCACGACCAGUCACACGGGCACUGAGACACGGGCCCGACUCCUACGGGAGGCAGCAGUAAGGAAUAUUGGUCAAUGGACGCAAGUCUGAACCAGCCAUGCCGCGUGAAGGAUGAAGG